GGAGAGUUCGCAUAAUGGUAUUGCAGCGGAUUGCUAAUCCGCCGGGACAUACCUGUCCUGUGCCAGUUCGAAUCUGGUGCUCUCCG
Molecule: transfer RNA, 86 nt
Filed under: Fidelibacterota bacterium
Lineage: Bacteria; Pseudomonadati; Fidelibacterota
Description: tRNA-Ser
Rfam family: tRNA
About the family: Transfer RNA (tRNA) molecules are approximately 80 nucleotides in length. Their secondary structure includes four short double-helical elements and three loops (D, anti-codon, and T loops).
Source: RNAcentral